CUCCACCGCUUGUGUGAGCCCCCGACAAUUUCUUUGAGUUUUAGCCUUGCGACCGUACUUCCCAGGCGGCCGACUUAGCACUUUUGCUUCGACCGUGAUAGCGUCAGAGCCACCACGAUCUAGUCGACAUCGUUUACAGCUAGGACUACCGGGGUAUCUAAUCCCGUUCGCUCCCCUAGCUUUCGUGUCUCAGCGUCGGCACACUCCCAGUUACCUGUUUUCACCAUUGGCGUUCCAAACGAUAUCUACGCAUUUCACCGCUCCACCGUUUGUUCCGGUAACCCCUAAGUGGCCCAAGAUAAGCAGUAUACCAAGCAGUUCCACGGUUGAGCCGUGGGAUUUCACAAGGUACUUACAAAUCCGCCUACACACGCUUUAAGCCCAGUGAUUCCGCCUAACGCUCGGGACCUCUGUCUUACCGCGGCUGCUGGCACGGAGUUAGCCGUCCCUUCCUCUGGGGUAGAUCAGAACUUUCUUUCCCCUGACAGUAGUUUACACCCCGAAG
This 505-nucleotide ribosomal RNA is filed under the name uncultured Planctomycetota bacterium. RNAcentral describes it as "uncultured planctomycete partial 16S ribosomal RNA". Lineage: Bacteria; Pseudomonadati; Planctomycetota. The record is from RNAcentral.